This 464-nucleotide ribosomal RNA is filed under the name uncultured bacterium. Its description in RNAcentral is "partial 16S ribosomal RNA". It matches the Rfam family "Bacterial small subunit ribosomal RNA", at positions 29 to 507 of the family's 1533-position model. The record is from RNAcentral.
ACGCACGCUGGCGGCGUGCUUCACACAUGCAAGUCGAACGGAAAGGCCCUGCUUGCAGGGUACUCGAGUGGCGAACGGGUGAGUAACACGUGGGUGAUCUGCCCUGCACUUCGGGAUAAGCCUGGGAAACUGGGUCUAAUACCGGAUAGGAGCCAUUUUUAGUGUGAUGGUUGGAAAGUUUUUUCGGUGUAGGAUGAGCUCGCGGCCUAUCAGCUUGUUGGUGGGGUAAUGGCCUACCAAGGCGGCGACGGGUAGCCGGCCUGAGAGGGUGGACGGCCACAUUGGGACUGAGAUACGGCCCAGACUCCUACGGGAGGCAGCAGUGGGGAAUAUUGCACAAUGGGCGCAAGCCUGAUGCAGCGACGCCGCGUGGGGGAGGACGGCCUUCGGGUUGUAAACGCCUUUCGCUAGGGACGAAGCUUUUUGUGACGGUACCUAGAUAAGAAGCACCGGCUAACUACGUG